GGCCACUUGCCAGCUGUUGCGCCACACCCCCUCCCUCCUCUUCUGUGCUAGAUACGCGAAUGCCGCUGCAGACUCGUCGAUCAGGCCUUGGCAGCCGUCGCGCCGUGACAGGGGUGCUGCGCGCCAGCCAAGUGUGGCGCAUGCGCUUUGACAAAGCUGCACCACCACCAGCGCCGCCGCCGCCGCCGCCUCCGGCGGGAUCGACUGCCACGAGCUCUUCGACGGCCGCGUCGGCGCUACCGCGUGUGUCGUACCGCACACUGCCCUCGAGUAUGUACCCCAAGGAGGUCAGCUCCGACUUCAUUCCCUUUCCGCUGCCGAAGCACGACGCGUCUAUGGGCUUUGGGCCGGUACGCCUGCGCAACGUACCGGACAUCGAAGAGGCUCGAGCGCGCAUGGCCAAGGCAGCGCAGGGCCCACCGCGAGGAAGUGCGUCUACGCAGCUCCAGGAUGACGACGGUGACAACGCCGAAGCGGCGUCUGCCUUGUGGGCAGAGCUGAGCGGCGAAACCACGGCGACAUCCGUUGGUCUCUCCACUACUUCCGUGACAGGGGUGUCGCCAGAGGAUCCGGAAGCGCUGUCACGUCUGGCGGAUGCGCGGGAUGAAGACUUUGUCGGCUAUCAUGUCCACCGGCACUUUCCGCUGCUCGAUGUGCUGGAGUGCGACCGAAGCGUGAACGACCUUCUUGCGCAGUUUUGGAACCGCCCACAGCGCGAGGCUAGGACGGCGACAGUGCUCGACUUUGCCGCGACGCUGCAGCGCCGCAGCAACGACGAACUCACACGCGUUCUCUACGAACUGAGCUCUCUCUUCGAGUGGGACGGUAAUGGACUUCAGUUCAUUGCUGCCAAGGUGCUCAAGUAUGGUCGCAGCUACACCGUGUCGAGCGAGUUGACGAAGGCGUUUGUCCAGUUGGUGGACGCGAUGACGGUGACGUUUGUUGAGGAGCAGCCGCACCGCCUGGCGGAGUCGCCUGCGCUGCUGGCGCAGGUGCUCCACUUUCUGGCGCUGGUAAAGAUCAUGGAGCCGAAUAAAUGGUACACGCUGAACCCCAACGCGCCGCAGAAUCGCGCCGACUACACGCACCCGCGCGGCGUGAAUCGGACGUCUGCUCACGUGACUACGGGCCGCGUGCUGCUCGACUUUCUCGAGGACAUGGUCACCAGUGGGCACAACUGGACGAGUGAGGCUGUUGUCGAUGACCAACAGGGCAGCCUGGCGCGUCCUCCCGUACCGCAGCACGCAACAUAUCGUUUCACUGAGGGAUGGUCGGAGGACGACAUCCUUGAUGUUAUGGCGGGAUUCUCAGGCGUCAUGCCCGAUGGCAAGGCGUCGUCACCCGUCUUGUAUGCACUGCUGGGUGAGCUGUGGAUGCGCUGGUCUAAGGUGGGCUUUGUGCUCUCUGGGUCUGAGCAGGCGGCGCGACUUGAGCGUUUGUACAUGUUGUUGCAAGUAAUGGACGUGCAGCGUGACGCCGUGCUGAAUGCGCUGCUUGGUGGGCAGCUCAGGGCUCAUGGAACGGCACCAUCCACAUCGACGUUGCCGACGCUGUUUUGCGAGCGCGACGACACCCCGCCGCUGACGUUGGCGCAGUCUCUCACACAAACGCGCGGGCCAGAUUUCUUCUCGGCUGUCUCGCGCGAUAAGCGGGCGAUGGUCAAGGCAGCCGCCUUGCGGCUUCUCAGGGCGAGCUUGGCGAAGGCACGCGACGAUAGCGAUGCGGCGCUGCACCAGGCCCUCGUCGAGAGCGGUACUGAGCUGCUGCAGAGUUUGACGUCCAAGUCAGCUGCGCUGUCGUUUGCGCAGAGAGAGCAGUUCGACGUGAUGACGCUGAGAGCGGUGCCGCACAUGGCGGACGUGGCAGAGCGGCUCGCCGAGCAGCGCGCCGAGACACCGUUCUUUCCGCUUACUGCGUCCGCAGGCGGUCUUCCCGACACCGCUGCCGUGCUUGCCCACCUCAGUUCUCAUCCUGCGCCGUACAUUGUUCUCUACAAGGGUCGUCGUGUCCACCCAGUGCGAACCUUGGUGUCGAAUCUGGACCACGUAGCAGCCGUGGAGAACGUCUUCUUACUGCACUCCAGCGGCGUUUCAAAGUGCGUUGACGCCCUCGUCGCCGUCGCCCGGCGCCUGCGUAGCGGCAAGGAUGCGCUGAUCGUCACGGCCAGCUGUCUGCGGGCGCUGCAAGCGGCCGCCCAGUACGGAGCGACGGAGAAGCGCCGCGCGACGGCUGACCGUGCGCUGAAUAUUGUCUCCUAUGAACUGGAGACAGGUCGAGCCAUACUCAUGCCAGUUACUGACGAGCUGUACCUGCACGACGCCGGUACGUAUUGCGAUGAGGACCUCAUGCUGUGGACUCUGGCCGCCUACUUGGCUCGAGACGUGCCCCUUGUGAAGGUGCACACGAUCAUGAGUAGCCGCAGCAGAGCACGAAACCCUCAGCACACACUGCGAGGCGAGCACAGCCCUCUCACAUCGUCAGGCGACCUGUACAACAAGUCGACGCCGCUCCUACAAUCGCUGCGAAGCAAGGAGCUGCGCGCUGUCACGCACCACCCGGUCGUGCAGCGUCCAGUGCGGGACCCCCCGCAAACGCUCUACAACGUUAACCCAAUCCGUGCCCGCUUUGUGUACCGGCGAGACAAGGCAUUGUUUGACAAGUACCAUGUCACGGCGCGCAACCUAGCACCUGGGUUCAGCCAAGGUGCGCUGAACAGCGACCUGCGGGCGCUUGGCUUCUACACCCCCGACCAUCCACAAGUCCCUUACACGCCUUUGUCGGAGUUGAGGUGCUGCCCAGUGCCUGCCAUUCCGCCUGCUUCACAGUGAGCCAUCUUGCACAACGAAGCAUCUGCCUUUAUGUGCGUGGGGGUAGGGUAGGAGGUCCCUCGCCAUCUGUCCCUGAUUCGAGUCGCUGCGCUCUCGAGGGUGGGGCGGGUGUGAGAGCGAGUUUCCAGGCCUGCCGGCGUGUCUUCUUCGAGGUUCGGCGAAGGCAGGCCCUAUCACGGGGCCGUGAUCGACUUUGGUAGGUAUGCCACUCGCUGCGCCUCUUGUGUGUCUUGGCAUUGACGGCUCUUGUGUCGUCUCCCCCGAAAGGGACUCUCCGGUCUCUCUCACAGU
Molecule: unclassified non-coding RNA, 3119 nt
Filed under: Leishmania donovani
Lineage: Eukaryota; Euglenozoa; Kinetoplastea; Trypanosomatida; Trypanosomatidae
Description: gene:LdHU3.27.1480(CDS-product:hypothetical_prote in_conserved)
Source: RNAcentral